GGACUACAGGGGUAUCUAAUCCCGUUCGCUCCCCUAGCUUUCGCGUCUCAGUGUCAGUUAGCGGCCAGAAAGUCGCCUUCGCCACUGGUGUUCCUCCCGAUAUCUACGCAUUUCACUACUACACCGGGAAUUCCACUUUCCUCUCCGCCACUCUAGCCGCGCAGUAUUGAUUGCAGUUCCUCGGUUGAGCCGAGGGAUUUCACAACCAACUUACGCAACCACCUACACGCGCUUUACGCCCAGUAAAUCCGGAUAACGCUUGGCCCCUACGUAUUACCGCGGCUGCUGGCAC
This 292-nucleotide ribosomal RNA is filed under the name uncultured bacterium. RNAcentral's name for it is "partial 16S ribosomal RNA". The record is from RNAcentral.